RNAcentral lists this ribosomal RNA (497 nucleotides) under uncultured bacterium. RNAcentral describes it as "partial 16S ribosomal RNA". It matches the Rfam family "Bacterial small subunit ribosomal RNA", at positions 28 to 507 of the family's 1533-position model. The record is from RNAcentral.
GAUGAACGCUGGCAGCGUGCCUAAUACAUGCAAGUCGAGCGAACAGACGAGGAGCUUGCUCCUCUGACGUUAGCGGCGGACGGGUGAGUAACACGUGGAUAACCUACCUAUAAGACUGGGAUAACUUCGGGAAACCGGAGCUAAUACCGGAUAAUAUAUUGAACCGCAUGGUUCAAUAGUGAAAGACGGUUUUGCUGUCACUUAUAGAUGGAUCCGCGCCGCAUUAGCUAGUUGGUAAGGUAACGGCUUACCAAGGCAACGAUGCGUAGCCGACCUGAGAGGGUAAUCGGCCACACUGGAACUGAGACACGGUCCAGACUCCUACGGGAGGCAGCAGUAGGGAAUCUUCCGCAAAGGGCGAAAGCCUGACGGAGCAACGCCGCGUGAGUGAUGAAGGUCUUCGGAUCGUAAAACUCUGUUAUUAGGGAAGAACAAAUGUGUAAGUAACUAUGCACGUCUUGACGGUACCUAAUCAGAAAGCCACGGCUAACUACGUG